Molecule: ribosomal RNA, 588 nt
Filed under: uncultured bacterium
Lineage: Bacteria
Description: partial 16S ribosomal RNA
Rfam family: Bacterial small subunit ribosomal RNA
Source: RNAcentral
UGGGGAAUUUUGGACAAUGGGGGAAACCCUGAUCCAGCCAUCCCGCGUGUGCGAUGAAGGCCUUCGGGUUGUAAAGCACUUUUGGCAGGAAAGAAACGUCGCGGGUUAAUACCCCGCGAAACUGACGGUACCUGCAGAAUAAGCACCGGCUAACUACGUGCCAGCAGCCGCGGUAAUACGUAGGGUGCAAGCGUUAAUCGGAAUUACUGGGCGUAAAGCGUGCGCAGGCGGUUCGGAAAGAAAGAUGUGAAAUCCCAGAGCUUAACUUUGGAACUGCAUUUUUAACUACCGGGCUAGAGUGUGUCAGAGGGAGGUGGAAUUCCGCGUGUAGCAGUGAAAUGCGUAGAUAUGCGGAGGAACACCGAUGGCGAAGGCAGCCUCCUGGGAUAACACUGACGCUCAUGCACGAAAGCGUGGGGAGCAAACAGGAUUAGAUACCCUGGUAGUCCACGCCCUAAACGAUGUCAACUAGCUGUUGGGGCCUUCGGGCCUUGGUAGCGCAGCUAACGCGUGAAGUUGACCGCCUGGGGAGUACGUCGCAAGAUUAAAAACUUAAAUGAAAUUGACGGGGGUCAUAGCUGUUUCCCU